AUUCCGUAGGUGAACCUGCGGAAGGAUCAUUAUCGAGUCCUGACUGGGUUGUAGCUGGCCUUCCGAGGCAUGUGCACGCCCUGCUCAUCCACUCUACACCUGUGCACUUACUGUGGGUAUCAGAUCGUGAAGCGUGCUCUUUUACCGGAGCUUGUGAAGCGUGUCUGUGCCUGCGUUUAUCACAAACACUAUAAAGUAUCAGAAUGUGUAUUACGAUGUAACGCAUCUAUAUACAACUUUCAGCAACGGAUCUCUUGGCUCUC
Molecule: unclassified non-coding RNA, 263 nt
Filed under: plant metagenome
Description: partial contains small subunit ribosomal RNA, internal transcribed spacer 1, and 5.8S ribosomal RNA
Source: RNAcentral